This 466-nucleotide ribosomal RNA is filed under the name uncultured bacterium. Its description in RNAcentral is "bacterial SSU rRNA". It matches the Rfam family "Bacterial small subunit ribosomal RNA", at positions 330 to 794 of the family's 1533-position model. The record is from RNAcentral.
UCCAGACUCCUACGGGAGGCAGCAGUGAGGAAUAUUGGUCAAUGGACGCAAGUCUGAACCAGCCAUGCCGCGUGCAGGAUGACGGCUCUAUGAGUUGUAAACUGCUUUUGUACGAGGGUAAACCCCGAUACGUGUAUCGGGUUGAAAGUAUCGUACGAAUAAGGAUCGGCUAACUCCGUGCCAGCAGCCGCGGUAAUACGGAGGAUGCGAGCGUUAUCCGGAUUUAUUGGGUUUAAAGGGUGCGUAGGCGGAAUAUCAAGUCAGCGGUAAAAAUUCGGGGCUCAACCCCGUCGUGCCGUUGAAACUGAUGUUCUUGAGUGGGCGAGAAGUAUGCGGAAUGCGUGGUGUAGCGGUGAAAUGCAUAGAUAUCACGCAGAACUCCGAUUGCGAAGGCAGCAUACCGGCGCCCAACUGACGCUGAAGCACGAAAGCGUGGGUAUCGAACAGGAUUAGAUACCCCGGUAGA